Molecule: ribosomal RNA, 563 nt
Filed under: uncultured Sebacinales
Lineage: Eukaryota; Fungi; Basidiomycota; Agaricomycetes; Sebacinales
Description: eukaryotic LSU rRNA
Rfam family: Eukaryotic large subunit ribosomal RNA
Source: RNAcentral
UAGUAACGGCGAGUGAAGAGGGAAAAGCUCAAAUUUUGAAUCUGGUGUCUUUGACCCCCGAGUUGUAAUCUAGAGAAGUGUUUUCCGUGUCGGACCGUGUACAAGUUCCCUGGAACGGGGCGUCAUAGAGGGUGAGAAUCCCGUAUAUGCCACGGACUACCGAUACUCUGUGAUACACUCUCAACGAGUCGAGUUGUUUGGGAAUGCAGCUCAAAAUGGGUGGUAAAUUCCAUCUAAAGCUAAAUAUUGGCGAGAGACCGAUAGCGAACAAGUACCGUGAGGGAAAGAUGAAAAGCACUUUGGAAAGAGAGUGAAACAGUACGUGAAAUUGUUGAAAGGGAAGCGUUUGAAGUCAGUCGCAUCUGUUGGGAUUCAGCCUGGCUUCUGCCUGGUGUAUUUCCUUUCCGAUGGGUCAGCAUCAGUUUUGACCAAGGGAAAAAGACAUUUGGAAUGUGGCUGUCUUCGGGCAGUGUUAUAGCCUUGUGUUGUAUGUCUUGGUUGGGACUGAGGAACGCAGCGCGCCAUUUUGGCCGGGGGUCGCUCCUCUCGACACGCGCUUAGGA